GCUGAAAGCAUCUAAGCACGAAACCUACUCCAAGAUGAGAUCUCCCAAUUCGUAAGACCCCUUAAAGACGAUAAGGUUGAUAGGCCAGAGAUGGAAGUGUAGUGAUACAUGGAGUUGACUGGUACUAAUCGGUCGAGGACUUAAUCAG
RNAcentral lists this ribosomal RNA (148 nucleotides) under Erysipelotrichaceae bacterium. RNAcentral describes it as "partial 23S ribosomal RNA". It matches the Rfam family "Bacterial large subunit ribosomal RNA", at positions 2770 to 2925 of the family's 2925-position model. Lineage: Bacteria; Bacillati; Bacillota; Erysipelotrichia; Erysipelotrichales; Erysipelotrichaceae. The record is from RNAcentral.